GUCUCAGUAGCUCAGCUGGAUAGAGCAACGCCCUUCUAAGGCGUCGGUCGGGAGUUCGAAUCUCUCCUGGGACACUA
This 77-nucleotide transfer RNA is filed under the name Vibrio vulnificus. RNAcentral's name for it is "tRNA-Arg". It matches the Rfam family "tRNA". Rfam says of the family: Transfer RNA (tRNA) molecules are approximately 80 nucleotides in length. RNAcentral also lists the same sequence under 18 other names. The record is from RNAcentral. Lineage: Bacteria; Pseudomonadati; Pseudomonadota; Gammaproteobacteria; Vibrionales; Vibrionaceae.